RNAcentral lists this ribosomal RNA (564 nucleotides) under uncultured Glomeromycotina. Its description in RNAcentral is "SSU rRNA". It matches the Rfam family "Eukaryotic small subunit ribosomal RNA", at positions 548 to 1114 of the family's 1831-position model. The record is from RNAcentral. Lineage: Eukaryota; Fungi; Glomeromycota.
UUGGAGGGCAAGUCUGGUGCCAGCAGCCGCGGUAAUUCCAGCUCCAAUAGCGUAUAUUAAAGUUGUUGCAGUUAAAAAGCUCGUAGUUGAAUUUCGAGACCGGUUUAUUGGUCGUGCUUUUGUACGUACUGGUAUUAUUGGUUUCUCCUUUCUGACGAAUCUUAAUGCCAUUAAUUUGGUGUUUUGGGGAAUCAGGACUGUUACUUUGAAAAAAUUAGAGUGUUUAAAGCAGGCUCACGCUUGAAUACAUUAGCAUGGAAUAACGGAAUAGGACGUUUGAUUCUAUUUUGUUGGUUUCUAGGAUCGACGUAAUGAUUAAUAGGGAUAGUUGGGGGCAUUAGUAUUCAAUUGUCAGAGGUGAAAUUCUUGGAUUUAUUGAAGACUAACUACUGCGAAAGCAUUUGCCCAGGAUGUUUUCAUUAAUCAAGAACGAAAGUUAGGGGAUCGAAGACGAUCAGAUACCGUCGUAGUCUUAACCAUAAACUAUGCCGACUAGGGAUCGGAUGAUGUUAAUUUUUUAAUGACUCAGUCGGCGCCUUACGGGAAACCAAAGUGUUUGGGUUC